RNAcentral lists this transfer RNA (72 nucleotides) under Cyanobacteria bacterium M5B4. RNAcentral describes it as "tRNA-Lys". It matches the Rfam family "tRNA". Rfam says of the family: Transfer RNA (tRNA) molecules are approximately 80 nucleotides in length. RNAcentral also lists the same sequence under 2 other names. The record is from RNAcentral. Lineage: Bacteria; Bacillati; Cyanobacteriota.
GGGUCGUUAGCUCAGCGGUAGAGCACUCGGCUUUUAACCGAUUGGUCCUGGGUUCAAAUCCCAGACGACCCA